UAUUACCACAAACUACACACCAGGUGGAUAUUUUCAGACAUCUAUUUGGGGUCCAAAUUAUGCUCACUCAUAUAAUGCGCCCAAAAGUAUGAAUCUAUAUGAAGCAGAGGCAAAUGCUAUAUAUGAUCUCUUAAAACAUACAACAAAUGUUCUUGGAUAUACCAUUGUCGACGACAAUUAUGAAACACUGAAUCAGAUGGUAUGUGAAAUAAACAGAUACAAUGCUGAAAUUAAUGAAUUACAGACC
This 247-nucleotide long non-coding RNA is filed under the name Sorghum bicolor (sorghum). RNAcentral describes it as "long non-coding RNA (SBIC_LNC007155)". Lineage: Eukaryota; Viridiplantae; Streptophyta; Magnoliopsida; Poales; Poaceae. The record is from RNAcentral.